CGCACAUUGCGCCCCUCGGUAUUCCGGGGGGCAUGCCCGUUCGAGCGUCAUUAUAGACCAUCAAGCACAGCUUGGCAUUGGGCCUUCGUCCCCGCAGCGGACGGGCCCCAAAGACCUCGGCGGUGAAGCGUCGGCCUCAAGCGUAGUAGAAUCCUAUCCCGCUUACAGAGGCCGCGGUUCGCCCGCUCCGAAAACCCCACACCUCAAGGUUGACCUCGGAUCAGGUAGGGAUACCCGCUGAACUUAA
This 247-nucleotide unclassified non-coding RNA is filed under the name fungal sp. RNAcentral's name for it is "partial contains 5.8S ribosomal RNA, internal transcribed spacer 2, and large subunit ribosomal RNA". The record is from RNAcentral. Lineage: Eukaryota; Fungi.